UAAGGCCCUAGCCCCAAGAACUGCUGUUUCAUAUAGCAGCAGUUUAAACAGAGGUGCUAACAGCAAGUGGAUCUCGUUGCCCUUGGGGGCUGCGGUCGUGCCUCUCAAAGUGAAUUUGGAGGGUCUACACCC
Small nucleolar RNA from Balaenoptera musculus (blue whale), 132 nucleotides. Lineage: Eukaryota; Metazoa; Chordata; Mammalia; Artiodactyla; Balaenopteridae. The record is from Ensembl.